This 338-nucleotide unclassified non-coding RNA is filed under the name soil metagenome. RNAcentral describes it as "partial contains 5.8S ribosomal RNA, internal transcribed spacer 2, and large subunit ribosomal RNA". The stretch from base 1 to 121 matches the Rfam family "5.8S ribosomal RNA", at positions 35 to 154 of the family's 154-position model. The record is from RNAcentral.
GAUGAAGAAACGUAGCGAAAUGCGAUAAGUAGUGUGAAUUGCAGAAUUCAGUGAAUCAUCGAAUCUUUGAACGCACAUUGCGCCCCAUGGUAUUCCGUGGGGCAUGCCUGUUCGAGCGUCAUUUACCCCCUCAAGCUCCGCUUGGUGUUGGGCGUCUGUCCCGCUUCGCGCGCGGACUCGCCCCAAAGGUAUUGGCAGCGGUCGUGCCAGCUUCUCGCGCAGCACAUUGCGCUUCUCGAGGCACCGGUGGGCCCGCGUCCAUCAAGCUCACCCCCCCAGUUUGACCUCGGAUCAGGUAGGGAUACCCGCUGAACUUAAGCAUAUCAAUAAGCGGAGGA